CAUUGCUUACAUUUGCAUAUGCCGCAGAACUUAUUUCUGGGUUCCAUGAAACUGCUGCCUACACAGCCAAUCUGCCACUUCUUCUGGCAGAGGCCUCUGUGCACAAGUGUGCACACCACACACAUACAGGGCAGGGCUGGCCACGCUUUUCCACAAAUCCAGUUUCCGAAGAAGAAUAAUGAGAUGCUCCACGGUCCCCUCAGAAGAAGGGUUGCUAAAAAGCAACAAGACUCUAGUGAGUGAAGUCUCUGAGCUGGUUCUGAUCUCUGGGAAGGCGAAUGUGGAUGAAAGCAUCAAUUUUGCAGCAGCCAUGGCUUGUCCCAUGAGAGAUGAUUCUACCACAAGAACCCAACCACAAGGACGGCUCCUCUUUGAAGUUUUUACAGUCGAUCUCUGGAUCAGCCAGCGAAGUCCUGCUCCCAGGAUCCAGGGAGAGACCGUACUUGUGAAGACAUCGUCUCUUUUGUUCAAAAAUGCUCUAUGGUAAAGAGAGGGAAAACUAUUAUCUAUCUCUAACUUCAAUGAAAAGAAACAAGGAUUCAGAACAGAAUGUAUCAGAACUGAACUGUGGGUUUGGAUAAUUACUUUCUGGCUGUGAUGUUGGGGUAAGUUAUCUCUUGGGGUAAAAGAAAAGUCUCUAAGCUUCAAAUUCCAUCAGCUGUUAAGUAAGAUAAUAUCCACUCCAUGGAGUUAUCAUAGGGAUUGGGGUUGUCCCUUGCCUUGCGUCGGAUAAUUUGACUGGUACACAGUUCCUUAUGAUGAUUUCAACUUUUCCUAACUGAGAAGAGUGACUCCCUGUGCCUAUACACAAUGUGGUUUUACACUGAACACCUGCUUUCCUUCUGGGAGUCUGAACUGGUUACAUGUUAGGCAGAGGGUGCUUAUGUGACCAGCUCCCCAUAAAAACCUUGGGCUUUUCUAAUGAGAACCUUGACUUAUCUAAUGGGCAUCCCUGGGCAGAAUCAGCAGAUGCUUGUUGCUGGAGAAAGAAGCAUGCUCUUGGGUGUCCCCUCGCAGGAGGGAGAAAGCAUGAGGAAGCCUGCACCUUGGUUUCUCAGGACUCCACCAUGGCUUUUUCUCUUACAGUCUGGCUGUAUAUCAUUACUAUGUUGCUGGAAGGAAUCUGAG
Molecule: long non-coding RNA, 1128 nt
Filed under: Pan troglodytes (chimpanzee)
Lineage: Eukaryota; Metazoa; Chordata; Mammalia; Primates; Hominidae
Description: lncRNA (ENSPTRG00000053743.1)
Source: RNAcentral